AGAUUGAACGCUGGCGGCAUGCCUUACACAUGCAAGUCGAACGGUAGAGUAGCAAUACUUGAGAGUGGCGAACGGGUGAGUAAUAUAUCGGAACGUGCCCAGUCGUGGGGGAUAACGUAGAGAAAUUUACGCUAAUACCGCAUACGAUCUAAGGAUGAAAGCGGGGGACCGUAAGGCCUCGCGCGAUUGGAGCGGCUGAUAUCAGAUUAGGUUGUUGGUGAGGUAAAGCUCACCAAGCCGACGAUCUGUAGCUGGUUUGAGAGAACGACCAGCCACACUGGGACUGAGACACGGCCCAGACUCCUACGGGAGCAGCAGUGGGAAUUUGGACAUGGGCGAAAGCCUGAUCCAGCAAUGCCGCGUGCAGGAAGAAGGCC
RNAcentral lists this ribosomal RNA (377 nucleotides) under uncultured soil bacterium. RNAcentral's name for it is "bacterial SSU rRNA". It matches the Rfam family "Bacterial small subunit ribosomal RNA", at positions 26 to 416 of the family's 1533-position model. The record is from RNAcentral.